GAUACCUGAGAAAGUAUACACUCUCUAGUUAUCAGAGUAACAUGGAAUUGUUAUGCAAUUGAAAUGUUUGAUAUUGAAAUUGUUUGUUAGGAGAUUAAAUGUAAUUUUAGCUUCCAAAUGAGAGAAUUGGGUUUUCAUAAGGAAAGUGCCCUGCUUGAUCAGUGGCCCACCCCUGUGAAGAGACAGGGGUUAUAAACGAUGAAACACAUCCUUCCCCCCGCUCCACUAUAUAAGCCUUUGACGAAAAGAUAACCAGUUGUUCCAGUACGGGAGGUCUGCAGCCUCUACGUUAGAAGGACACACAUGUCAACUAAGCCAACCUCGGCGUGAGCUAUGGUAUGAACUGGUAUGAACUUUGAGCUUAUUCACUACAGAAGUGAUACUUCCUAGCCGUUGAGUUAGCAGCGGCCGCUGUAACGUGGGCUAGGAAAGGACGGACGACGGAUCCAGUCUAACAGACGGACGAAGAUACCACCACGUAUCCAAUUUACCACCAGAGACAUUCUUCCGAACAGGAAGAUCUGUUGGCCAACCCGGCCAGCAUCUACGACCAAUCUACCGAAGCGCAGCUCAGAGACCUGAGCCCUAGGACCAUGCCUCAGGACUACCUGACAUGAUGACUCCUUGCUGUCCCCAGUCCACCUGGCCGUGCUGCUGCUCCAGUUUCAACUGUUCUGCCUGCGGCUAUGGAACCCUGACCUGUUCACCGGACGUGCUACCUGUCCCAGACCUGCUGAUUUCAACUCUCUAGAGACAGCAGGAGCGGUAGAGAUACUCUCAAUGAUCGGCUAUGAAAAGCCAACUGACAUUUACUCUUGAGGUGCUGACUUGUUGCACCCUCGACAACUACUGUGAUUAUUAUUAUUUGACCAUGCUGGUCAUUUAUGAACAUUUGAACAUCUUGGCCAUGUUCUGUUAUAAUCUCCACCCGGCACAGCCAGAAGAGGACUGGCCACCCCUCAUAGCCUGGUUCCUCUCUAGGUUUCUUCCUAGGUUUUGGCCUUUCUAGGGAGUUUUUCCUAGCCACCGUGCUUCUACACCUGCAUUGCUUGCUGUUUGGGGUUUUAGGCUGGGUUUCUGUACAGCACUUUGAGAUAUCAGCUGAUAUAAGAAGGGCGAUAUAAAUAAAUUUGAUUUGUUUUGAAUGUUCAAAUCCAUUAGAGGGACCACUCUCUUAAGAAAAAUUACCCAAAAUGCUUAUAAAAAAUACCACUUAAGUAAUAUGAAAACAGACACACAAUAGUCCUGGGGUCAGUGUUACAAGAAUUUUCAAUCCCAAUGUUCAUAAACUGAACUUCAAUUAAACUACUCAGUCUGC
This 1318-nucleotide long non-coding RNA is filed under the name Salmo salar (Atlantic salmon). Its description in RNAcentral is "lncRNA (ENSSSAG00000114562.1)". Lineage: Eukaryota; Metazoa; Chordata; Actinopteri; Salmoniformes; Salmonidae. The record is from RNAcentral.